AGUGAACGCUGGCGGCAGGCCUAAUACAUGCAAGUCGAACGGCAGCACAGCAGAGCUUGCUCUGUGGGUGGCGAGUGGCGGACGGGUGAGGAAUACGUGGGAAUCUGCCCAGUCGUGGGGGAUAACGUAGGGAAACUUACGCUAAUACCGCAUGCGCCCUUCGGGGAAAGCCGGGGACCUUCGGGCCUGGCGCGAUUGGAUGAGCCCACGUCGGAUUAGCUAGUUGGCGGGGUAAAGGCCCACCAAGGCGACGAUCCGUAGCUGGUCUGAGAGGAUGAUCAGCCACACUGGAACUGAGACACGGUCCAGACUCCUACGGGAGGCAGCAGUAGGGAAUAUUGGACAAUGGGCGCAAGCCUGAUCCAGCCAUGCCGCGUGAGUGAAGAAGGCCCUCGGGUUGUAAAGCUCUUUUGUCCGGAAAGAAAGCGCCGGGUUAAUACCCUGGUGUCCUGACGGUACCGGAAGAAUAAGCACCGGCUAACUUCGUGCCAGCAGCCG
RNAcentral lists this ribosomal RNA (498 nucleotides) under uncultured bacterium. RNAcentral's name for it is "bacterial SSU rRNA". It matches the Rfam family "Bacterial small subunit ribosomal RNA", at positions 29 to 517 of the family's 1533-position model. The record is from RNAcentral.